GCGGAGUCAGCAGAGGGCAGGUUCUGGAGUUUGGGAGAGGCUGCGUUUUCUGGGGACUUCAGGUCCUGGACGGGGCCUGGAGAAGAUCGCCUGGCAAUAGGUGGCCGCAGUUCUGGGAGAGUGGGACUUUGGUCUGAAGCCGAUGGCCCUCCGGAGGCGGGCACUUGGGUGGUGCGGGGCGGAGGGCACGCGCCCCCGGGGCCACGCCGCGACGGGCAGCCGGACGACUGGGUCUGUGGGCGACCAACGCGGGGAGGUGGGGCGCCCGGAUAUUGUGUGGGUGAGAACCGGGGCGAACCGCAGCGCCCCACGAUCCCGAAGCAGAUCCGGGCUCUGCCGGAGCCGCACCUGGAGAGCCCGGGGAGGGCCGCUCUGGGCGUCGCCGUAAGUUCCCUUGAGUGGCGAAAGGAGUCGCCGCCUUUUACCCGCUUUCCCUGCACCAGUGCCGCCGCGGAGUGUGUGCAAAGGUCGUGCGCAGAUAAGCGGGCGCCGCGCGCACUCACGAGCCCUGCGGUGGGAGCGGCGCCGGCGGCUCAGCCGGUCGGUGGGAGGCGGCGGCCCGUGCGGCCCUGGGACAGGACGGACAGUCCUUAUCUGCAAGAAGCCGGUAGAAGGCCAGCAGCCCCGGGCAGCAGGCAAAUCCAAGGUGUCCUCCAGCGGCCGAGCUGCUGGACUCGCGAUUGUAACAGCGACCUGACGCAAAUGUGCUCCAGAGGGCCGAGGAAUAGCCGCGUUGGGUUCGAAUGUGCCCGGUGUUGGCGUCUGAGAGAGAAUGUCACCCCAAGGGACCUCGCGCUGUUCUCUCUCACCCCACGCCCAUCUUAGAAACGUAGGUUGCAUGAAUGGGAAGCAGCAUUUUAUGUACAAAAGUUGGUGACUCCGAAGCCACCUAGUGUUCCCCCUCUCUGACUUGUGGGCUGCAGAAUCCGACCCUGACGGGAAGCGACCGGACACCAGAAACUGGGAAUCUUGCAACUGACUUUGGUAGCAGCCAACGAGGCUGGGGAGGGCCCCUCUCCAGAGCAACUGUCCUGUAAAGGGACCCUGUCUUGUCCUCCUCUUGCUGGCUAAGCCAUAUUUUCCUUCUAGGGCAGAAGGGUGAGCAGACGGCUGGCGCUUGCCAGCCCCCAAAUGGGCCAGAGCUGGCCCAGGAACCGUCAGCCUGGGGUCAAGGCCUGGGUGCCCGGGCCAGGUGGAGGACCUGGGUGAAGCAGCGCUGGUGCAUGCUGCUGGGUUCACAAGCCAAGCAAAGCACUGCCCUCUCUGAGUCCGUUUUUUCCACUUGUAAACAGAGUAGUAAUCCCAAACUGGCCCCUGUGAUUGCUGAGGAUCAAAUGAGGGAGUGCCUGCUAUCCCGUGGCACAGGCUGGCACCUAAGUCGGCCUAUGCUGAAGCCCUAGGUCCCACCUUGGACUAUGCCAGGCACCACGGACACCUCACAAGCCCCCUACCCUCUCCAGUGGCACCUGCUCAAAAUCACAACUCCCCCCGCCCCCGCCCAGCUUCAGAAUACCCGCUGCUGGAGCAGGCCCCCGUCACAUUCCAGUUCCCUCCUCCAGCCAGGACUCUGUGUCAGCCAAGCUCCUGAGGAAUGCUGCUCUGUCCCUGCUCUUCCAUUCCACAGGGCUCUCCCUGGAUUCACCUGCUCCCCUGACAGCCUUCCCUAUUCAGGCACCAAACAGGUUCUGAACACUCAAAAGGCAUAGCAGCUACAGGGUGAUCCGAACCCAGCCCCUCCUUCAAGGGCCAGAGCCUGAGCUCGGUGAGAGAAACAGGGAGACAACCAGCAAGCAAUGUGGACGCCCCAGACAGAGGUGUGUGGCAGGUGCCGUGGAGUCCAGAGGGUGCCUGGUUUCUGCUGGAGCUGAGACUCAGAAGGGUCCUGAGGGACAUGCAGACCAAAAACAUACAGGUUCCAUCUCACUCCAGUGACAAUGGCAGUCACCAAGAACACCAACAAAAUCCCAGCAGCUCGGGAGGCUGAGGCAGGAAGAUCGUAAGUUCAAAGCCAGCCUCAGCAAAUUAGUGAGGCCCUAAGCAACUCAGUGAGACUCUUAUCUCUAAAUAAAAUACAAGAAAGGGCUGGGGGUGUGGAUCAGUGGUUAAGUGCCCCUGAGUUCAAUUCCCUUUACCAAAAAGAGAGAAUACCAACAACAAGUGCUGGCGAGGAUGCCAGGAAAAGGUAUCCUUGUACAUCAUUAGUGAGACUACAGAUUAGUGCAACCACUUUGGAAAUCAGUAUGGAGAUUCCUUAAAAGGCUAGCAAUGGCAGCCAGGUGCAGUAGUGCAGGCCUGUACUCCAGAGGCUUAGAGGCUGAGGCAGGAAGAUGGCAAGUUCAAAGGCAGCCUCAGCAACUUAGGGAGAUGCUAUCUGAAAAUAAAAAAUAAAAUGGGCCAGGUACAGUGGUGCACACCUGUAAUCCCAGCAGCUUGGGAGGCCGAGAUGGGAGGAACACGAGUUCAAAGCCAGCCUCAGCAAAGUGAGGCCCUAAGCAACUCAGUGAGACCCUGUCUCUAAAUAAAAUACAAAAUAGGGCUGGGGAUGUGGCUCAGUGGUUGAGUGCCUCUGAGUUCAAUUCCUAGUACUCCCCCCAAAAAUAAAUAAAAAAUAAAAAGGGUUGGGGAUGUGCUCAGUGAUAAAGCACCAAGGGUUCAAUCCCUGGUACCAAAAUAAAUAAAUAAAAGAAUAGGAAUGGAGCCAUCAUAUGACUCAGCUAUUCCACUCCUUAAUAUUUAUCUACAAGAACUAAAAUCAGUAUACUAGUGGAGCAGAGGAAGAGGAUGAGGAGGAAGGAGGAAGGAAAGGAAAGGGGAGGUACUGGGGAACAAUAUUGACCAAAUUAUAUCGUUAAAUUGUGUGUGUGUGCAAAUAUGUGACAAUGAACCCCACUUACUAUGUAUAAUUAUAAUGUACCCAUUUUUUUAAAAAGGUGCUGAGGGAUGGAGAGGAGUUCAGAAACCCAAAGGGUGGUGGCAGUGUACAUGUGCAAAGUCUGGAGGUGGGAGGACAGGCCGUCUUCUGGAGAGAGGCUGAGCGCUCAGGGUGGCAAUGCAGUUAAAGGACAUGGGUGGGUGGCAGAGCCUGGGCCCAGAAGACAGGGAGCUUUGGCCUUGGCAGCUGAAGGAUUUGUUCAGGCAUCUCCUGGGCAAAGCCUGUCCCCACCAGUCCCUAACUUAGCAGCUUUGCUGACGUAGUCUCAGUUUCCAGUCUAUUACAGGGAGAGGACAGCAGUGUCUACCUCACUGAGGACCCAGUGAAACAGCCGAGGGAUGAGCAGCCCUGUGCCUGUCUCGAGCCGAGAGCUGGGAAUCUAACUCCAACGUCUGUGUUUUUUCCUCUGGCUUCACCUAAUCAGCCCCAGCCAGCUGUCACUCUCCCCCCCCCCGCACCCCCCAGCCCCAGCUACAUCCCAGACAGAGAGAGACCAGGCCUCUCGCUGUACUGAGGCAGGGGCUGGGACCUUCCUGGGGUCACACAUCGAGAGAGACUGAGAUAACCUGGCUUGGACCCAGGGCAGCCCCUGCCCCGCCCUGCCUGACCCAGAGUCCCUGCCCCAUGCCUGCGUGGCAGGUGGGUGUCCAGCUGUGAGUCAGUGGGUGGCCUGGCCAGCAGGAGGCCACUGCUGUUGACAUGUGAUAACUGUGUUUAUUUAGUUGUAGCCACUCACCAAAGGGGCUAAUGUCCAACUCCUGCAUCUCCUGGAACCACCAACCACCACGGGGUAGUGGGACCUUCCUCCUCUACAGCGUACCUGGCUCAAAUUCACAAGAGCCUCUUUGGGGUCUUUGGAGACACUGAAGCCAGCAAGGCAGGGCUCCUUGUCACUGUUCUUGACAAGAGGAGACUGAGCUACAAGGCAGGACAUCACCCAGUGUCAUCCAGCCUGCCGGCUCUACCCACAGGGCCAGGGAACCGAGGCCCUGUGGGCUGUGACUUGAAGGAUGGUGGGAGGCCUCUGCACUGCCUCUCCCUCUCCCGGGCUCUCUGCCGCCCCACAGCCUGAGCAGGGCCCUGCGGCCCUCGGGGCUCUGGAUGUUGUUCCUACCUCCCUCUGGUACCCCACUUGCUCCCGCUUCCCUCCACUUAGCCCCAAGCCCCUCAGUCACAUGAGUCACAAACUGCAUUUGGCCCCGGGAGGCUAGGCAGGUGGCAGGCUGAUGAGGAAGGGGCUUUCUCACUGAAGAAGGAAGUCCCCUGCUCCCCCCACCUCUCAUCUGCAUAACCUGCCAGGACUCAAAACCUCAGGGCCACCAGCCAUGAGAGCCCUGGGCCAGCCACCGUCCAUCCCUCCAGGGAGGACAGUGGCUCAGGAGGCCAUGCUGGGCAAAGGGCUACACCCGGAUCCAUGCCCAGGACCCUGCCCAACAAGGAAUCCCCCAGAGAGGGGCCUGGAAGUGGGCUGAGUCCGCCCUGUGUUGGCCCCUGGGUGUGGCCUGAGGUCCAGGGGAAGGAGCCGCAGCCUCACUCUCUGACCUUCCAGCAGCACAUCCUUUGUCCCUGGAGAAUACAGUGGACCCCACUGGCCUUCCAGCACAUCUCCUGGCACAAAACCGCACCUUCCCUGGUUUCCACGGCCUCAAGAGCAGUGACCGGGAAGCCUUGCUUCAUCCAGCCUCAGGCAACCUUCUGGACCUGCCUCUAUACAGCCAAGAACUAGAGAGGGAGACUGAGGCCCAGCGGGCAUGUGUGCCAGACAGGGGCAGCUGGCACAAGAACCUGUCUGUCUGCUGCAGGCUGUCCCUUGCUGCCAGCGAGGAGGGAAGGUGGGUUCGCUCUGUGGCGUUCCACACCACGCCAGGCAGUGUUCUGGAUUCUGGGUCACCGCCCUGAGGUCCCAGCCCUGAGGUCAGGUCAUGUGGCCUCAAAGGCCGCCACGUCAGUCGGACUGAGAGGAGCCCUGUGAAGACGGGUGACCUUGGACUUGUCCUCAGCCUUCCCUGGAUGCUGACCACAGCUGGACUCCCCAGCCCUGAGGCCCAGCCAGAGGGAACAAAGCCUCCCACUCCUGGGCUUGACUUCACACCGGCCACCCCUGCUGUGCGAUUCACAUUUACAUAAAGGACAUCAGCUCUGGGCCUUGCUCUCCCCUUCUGCUAGGUGGGAAUGCAGCAGUGGAGCCAAGGGCCUCCCCAGCACGGCUGGGCCCUUGCCUCUCCCAGGCCUGGUCUGGAUUUCUCACCACAAGCCUCGAGGGAAAACCAACUCUGCAUGUUCUAAAUGAGGAAAAUGAAAUGAGGACACAUUAAGUGACUCUCUGGCCAAAGAAGCAUCCCGAGACCCACAGCGCUGAUGGGGCCGGGGUUGGAGGCCCAGCGUUUCUGUCCUACAGCUGGGGUCCCAGCUCCUUCCUUUCCUCCUCCCUUAACUAGGUUCCAGCUCAUCAGGGUUGAGCUGGGAAAACAGGAUGCCAAGAAGAAAGGGGGUUCAGGGCUCACAAAAUGGGAGUGGUGGCCAGGGAAGCCAUGCCUGUUCUCCCAAAGUCAGGAAUGGUGACAUUACAGGACCCUGCACAAGAAGCCACUGGCCAAGUGACACCUCUAGCAAAGUCCUCACCUGCCUGCCACCACUGCCUACCUCAGCCUUCCAGAUCUCAGGAAAAUGCCUGUGAUUGACAGGUACUACCCAGAACCCUGCUGCAGGGGAUGCUGGGAAGUGUGGCUCUUAGGCUUCCAGGCCCUGCAAUGGCAGCAGCCAUGGAGGAGGGGAAAUGACCUGGUGAGGUCCGUGAAUGCCCUGCACAAACUGGCCUGUGGGUCUUCCCCACCACAUGGUUCUGGGCAGAUCACCUGCUCCUCUUGCCUGCCUCCUGUCUGCAAAACAAGGACAGUCAGGUGCCCGCCCCACAGGUCAAACAAGCCACAUGGAACUAGCCUAGCCCAAGGGGCCUGGUACCAGCUGGCGCUUGGCACACGCCACUGCUCUCAUGGGUACAACUAGGGCGUUUUCUUGGGCAGGUCCAUCGACUGAUUUGGGCCCUUUCUGCCCUGUAGAAUUUCCCAUGGUGGGGCUUGGCAGGGUGGGGACCGGCACCUUGUCCUCCACUUGCAGACUCUCGGGCUCAGGCCUAGGGAUUUCUGCACAGGGAAUAGCCCCCCAGGAGCUCUUCCCAGCAGCUGCAUCUGCAGCACCUACAGUGGCGCUACCUCUGAUGGUGACAUCCACAGUGUCAGUAGUGAUCACCGUGAGCCCUAGAGCAGCCUAUUCCUGGGGGAACCCAGGCCUGGGGUGGCUUCCCGCCUUUUAUACUUCUUCCUUCUUUCCAAACCAGACUCCCCAGCCUUGCAGGGCCUGUGAAGACUCUUCCCAAGAGCCUUCCAGUAUAUACUCUGCUUCUUAACUCAGUGUUUUAACUGUGGGGUGGUGGCUCUCACAACAGUUCUGGGGAGAGUCAAGUGGGGUGCAUCCAUAGAUGGGAACCCAGUAGCCACUGAAGGCUGUAUGUGUGUGUGUGUGUGUGUGUGUGUGUGUACCGGGGAUUGAACUCAGGGGCACUCAACCACUGAGCCACAUCCCCAGCCCUAUUUUGUAUUUUAUUUAGAGAUGGGGCUUGCUGAGUUGCUUAGGGCCUUGCUUUUGCUGAGGCUGGCUUUGAACUCUGAACUCAUGAUCCUUCUGCCUCAGCCUCCUGAGCAGCUGGGAUUACAGGCAUGUGCCACUGCACCCAGCUUGAAGGCUGUAUUUUUAAAUAAUAUUUAAAACAUCUUCUGGGACUGGGGUUUUAGCUUUGUUGGGGGUAGAGUGCUUGCCUAGCGUGUGUGAGGCACUGGGUUCCAUCCUCAGCACCACAUAAAAAAAAAUAUGUAAAAUAAAGGUAUUGUGUCCAUGUACAACUAACUAACUAAAUAAAAGCUCCUGGAUGGAGGAUAAUUAUACGCAAUGGUGGGAUUCAUUGUUACAUAUUUGUUCCCACACACAAUUUAACAAUAUAAUUUGGUCAGUAUUGCUCCCAGGACCUCCCCCUUCCUCUCCCUCCUCCUUCCUCCUGGGCGUCUUCCUCUGCUGUACUAGUAUCUGUUCCAGCCCAGUCUUGGCAGUUUAGCAAGACCCUGUCUCAAAUAAAAAAUAAAAAGUGUUGGGGUUGAAGCCCAGGAGUAGGAGGCCCUUGGGUUCAAUCCCCAUCACUUCAAUAACUAAGCAGAUGGACAGAUAGACAAUCAGACAGAUAGAUAACUCCUGGAAAGUUCUUAGGAUAAAAUUCUUCUGUUGAAGUGCAAUUUUCAUCAGUAAAGCCCACAAAUCUUAAUAGACAACUGUGAUAU
Molecule: long non-coding RNA, 7260 nt
Filed under: Marmota monax (woodchuck)
Lineage: Eukaryota; Metazoa; Chordata; Mammalia; Rodentia; Sciuridae
Source: RNAcentral